AAGUGAGGACUGGGUGAGGCUGUGGCUGUUCAGCAUGGCUGUGGCUGAAGGCUAAAAGCCUUGGCUGCCUGUCUGUGGCCAGAUGUGCAGCUGACAUCUGUGUCCAAUUCAGCCCUCACUACUGGAGUAACCCCAACAUCAGGCUCUCAGUCUGGGGCAAGGAUGAUUCCAUUUGCACAAAUCGAUCUCCUGGAGGAAGAUUUGUUAGCUACGGCAAGCACACUGUAGGCACAGUGUAGCAGAGUGUGUCAUCUGACAAGAGAGAAAAAGGGGUCACCUACAAAAAGGGUUGUCCUCAGAAAGUCAUGGCUGCAGGAAUGGUUUUGCAGCUCUUCACUCCAAGGCUGAAGAAAGGAUCAAAGACAAGUCAAAGCAAUUAUUCAAAUAUCAAAAUUGUCAAGGGAGUCUGAAUUUGCAUCUCUCAAUGAACUCCAUAUCCUCAGUUCCACGGGAACAGCCUGUUUUGGGAAGGACACUUGUACAAUGCAGGCAAGAAACUCCACACUGCAUCCUCAGCCAAGAAAAGAAGAGCUUCUCACUUGGGUUCUCUGGGUACUUGCUGAUAUAAGCAUUUAUAGGUGGAAGAUACCUUCGAAAGCACAACUUUGUGGCAAACUAGCUUACGGUAGAACUGUCCUAAACUGUCUCUGGAAGUGAAUACAAGCUGAGUUCAUAAAAGAAGAGGAAUUUGCUAUUUUUCUGAAAUGUUUGUGUUCAUUGUCUGAUGCUCUAGACCACAAGUUGUUUUCUAGUUCAUCUGUAUCUAUUCAGAAUAAAUUACAUAAAUUUCA
Long non-coding RNA from Cygnus atratus (black swan), 791 nucleotides. RefSeq lists it as uncharacterized. The record is from RefSeq and is a predicted model, not a curated record. Lineage: Eukaryota; Metazoa; Chordata; Aves; Anseriformes; Anatidae. The transcript is spliced from 3 exons.